This 73-nucleotide transfer RNA is filed under the name Camelus ferus (Wild Bactrian camel). It matches the Rfam family "tRNA". Rfam says of the family: Transfer RNA (tRNA) molecules are approximately 80 nucleotides in length. Their secondary structure includes four short double-helical elements and three loops (D, anti-codon, and T loops). Lineage: Eukaryota; Metazoa; Chordata; Mammalia; Artiodactyla; Camelidae. The record is from Rfam by way of RNAcentral.
GAAGGUACAGCUUAAGUGUUAAAGUGCAUGUCUAUCAUGCAUGAGGCACUGGGUUCAAUCCCCAGUAUCUCCU